AAUGAACGCUGGCGGCGUGCUUAACACAUGCGAGUCGUACGAGAACUCUUUAGCUUGCUAAAGAUAGUAAAGUGGCGUACGGGUGAGUAAUACGUGGGUAAUCUUCCUCCGAAUUGGGGAUAACAUUGCGAAAGCGAUGCUAAUACCGAAUAAUAUCUUUUAGCGAUGGCUUUAAAGAUCAAAGGUGGUCACUACAUGUAAACUACUGUUUGGAGAUGAGCCCGCGUACCAUUAGCUAGUUGGCAGGGUAACGGCCUACCAAGGCGACGAUGGUUAGCUGGUCUGAGAGGAUGAUCAGCCACACUGGAACUGACACACGGUCCAGACUCCUACGGGAGGCAG
Molecule: ribosomal RNA, 342 nt
Filed under: uncultured Pseudomonadota bacterium
Lineage: Bacteria; Pseudomonadati; Pseudomonadota
Description: bacterial SSU rRNA
Rfam family: Bacterial small subunit ribosomal RNA
Source: RNAcentral